CAUGUCCCGUGGUUCCAGCGCUGGUUUUGCCCACCACAUUAACAUUUUUUUCGCCCGAGGGCCAGCACUACCAAGUAGAAUAUGCAUAUGCUUUUAAGGCUAUUAACCUGGGUGGCCUUCCAUCAGUAUUUGUCAGAGGAAAAGACUGCUGUAAUUAUCAUACAGAAGAAAUGCUUGACAAAUUAUCGGAUUCCAGCACAGUGACUCACUUACUCAAAAUAACUGAAAACAUUGGCUGUCACUGUGAUGACCGGAAUGACAGAGGUACAGAGGGCACGCUAUGGGGCAGCUAACUGGAAAUACAAGUACGGCUAUGAGAUUCCUGUGGACAUUCUGUGUGGAAUUGCUGAUACUACUCAGAAUGCUACAAUGAGGUCUCUUGGUUGUAUGAUUUUCAUUGGUAUAGAUGAAGAACAAGGCCCUCAGGUGUGAAAGUAUGAUCCUGCAGGUUACUGCUGUGAUUUAAAGCCACUGCAGCAGGAGUUAAACAAACUGAGUUAACCAGCUUCCUUGAAAAAAAAGUGCAAAAGAAAUUUGAUUGGACAUUUGAACAGACAGUGGAAACUGCAAUUACAUGCCUGUCUACUGUUCUAUCAAUUGAUUUCAAACCUUCAGAAAUAGAAGUUGGAGUAGUGACAGUUGAAAAUCCUAAAGUCGGGAUUCUUACAGAAGCAGAGAUUGAUGCA
Molecule: long non-coding RNA, 686 nt
Filed under: Homo sapiens (human)
Lineage: Eukaryota; Metazoa; Chordata; Mammalia; Primates; Hominidae
Description: non-protein coding lnc-PRPS2-1:1
Source: RNAcentral